RNAcentral lists this ribosomal RNA (570 nucleotides) under Merodon sp. m LSZ-2019. RNAcentral describes it as "partial large subunit ribosomal RNA". The record is from RNAcentral. Lineage: Eukaryota; Metazoa; Arthropoda; Insecta; Diptera; Syrphidae.
AUAUCCAUUAUGGAAAAUUCAACAUUAAUAUUAUAAUAUUUAUUUAUAAAUAUUAUAAAAAUAGUGUGCAAUUUUUCCAUAUAAGGACAUUGUAAUCUGUUAAUGUAAUAAAUAUUUAUCAUAAGAUUCAAUAAAUAAAAGUUUAUUCAAAUUAGUUAUUUUCCGAUUUCUAACAUAGAAUAAAUUUAAUUGAAUUUGAUAAAUCAUUGACAGAUUUAUUUAUAUAUAGUGCUUAAAUUCGUAAUUGAAUUUUACAAUAAUUUAUAAAUGUAUUUUCAUUUAUUUAUUUAAUGUAUGUACUUAUAUGAUUAACAAUGCUAUAGAUUCAGGAUACCUUCGGGACCCGUCUUGAAACACGGACCAAGGAGUCUAACAUAUGUGCAAGUCAUUGGGUAUUUUUAAUAAAACCCAAAGGCAUAAUUAACUUAACUGUUUUUAAUAUGGGAUUAAUUUAUAUUUUAUUAUGAAAUAUUAAUUCAAUCCCGGGGCGUUCUAUAUAGUUAUGUAUAAUAAUAUUUAUAUUAUUUAUGCCUCUAACUAGGGCGUACCUUGAGCAUAUAUGCUGUGACC